AACCAUAGAAACCUGCGGAGUACCUGCGGAGGGAUCAUUAACAAAUCUGAGUUGUGGGUUGUGUGGUGUGCGUGCGCGCAUAGCGCCACGUGCAUCAUCCUGCCUGCACAUUUACCCCGAGCCGGUCUAAACAGCCGGCUUUGGUUUGAGCCUUCGGGCUCAGGCGAUGGCUGUGUUAGGAAGGGGGCUCUGUGCCCUUCUUCCGCUGGCCAAAGCCACAUAGACGCUUGUUUUGUUUGA
RNAcentral lists this unclassified non-coding RNA (240 nucleotides) under soil metagenome. RNAcentral's name for it is "partial contains 5.8S ribosomal RNA, internal transcribed spacer 2, and large subunit ribosomal RNA". The record is from RNAcentral.